GUAAUUUUAAAAGUAUGAACCAAAUUAGCGUUAGUUGUAGGUUCUGUUGUCAUGUUUUUGUAACUUAGCUGGAGCAGACUCGCGUCGACGUUUAAGCGCGCAAAUUUGAAUGAAAAGACGUUGGUUGUAGUGUUAAUUAUACCGUAUUAAGUUAACUGUGAGAUGUCUGAUUAGAUACACCGUCGAACAUUUAACUUUAGCUUUACUUAAAGCUUAUCUUAGUUACUCUAACAGCGUUCUCUCUUUUACCACAGCAUUUUCUACAUUGACCGACGAUAAAUAAAGUUAUAAGGUGCUUCUUGGGCAUCAACCCAGAGACGGGCACAAAAUCUAAGAGGCAGAGAGGUCACAUGAACCAGCAAGUCUGCACUCUUAUCAGGAAGCUCAUUGACUUCGAAUGGAUGUCAAUCUAAUUGGAUAGAACCCACACUAUGCAGGUGCCAGCUGCGAGGGAAGGAGCGAGAC
Molecule: long non-coding RNA, 465 nt
Organism: Carassius gibelio (silver crucian carp)
Lineage: Eukaryota; Metazoa; Chordata; Actinopteri; Cypriniformes; Cyprinidae
Exons: 3
Source: RefSeq, a predicted model, not a curated record